AGUGAACGCUGGCGGUAGGCCUAACACAUGCGAGUCGAACGGCAGCACAGUAAGAGCUUGCUCUUACGGGUGGCGAGUGGCGGACGGGUGAGGAAUACAUCGGAAUCUACUUUUUCGUGGGGGAUAACGUAGGGAAACUUACGCUAAUACCGCAUACGACCUACGGGUGAAAGCAGGGGAUCUUCGGACCUUGCGCGAUUGAAUGAGCCGAUGUCGGAUUAGCUAGUUGGCGGGGUAAAGGCCCACCAAGGCGACGAUCCGUAGCUGGUCUGAGAGGAUGAUCAGCCACACUGGAACUGAGACACGGUCCAGACUCCUACGGGAGGCAGCAGUGGGGAAUAUUGGACAAUGGGCGCAAGCCUGAUCCAGCCAUACCGCGUGGGUGAAGAAGGCCUUCGGGUUGUAAAGCCCUUUUGUUGGGAAAGAAAAGUAGCAGGUUAAUACCCCGCUGUUCUGACGGUACCCAAAGAAUAAGCACCGGCUAACUUCGUG
This 492-nucleotide ribosomal RNA is filed under the name uncultured bacterium. Its description in RNAcentral is "partial 16S ribosomal RNA". It matches the Rfam family "Bacterial small subunit ribosomal RNA", at positions 29 to 507 of the family's 1533-position model. The record is from RNAcentral.